CCUACGGGUGGCAGCAGUGGGGAAUAUUGCACAAUGGGGGAAACCCUGAUGCAGCGACGCCGCGUGAGUGAAGAAGUAAUUCGUUAUGUAAAGCUCUAUCAGCAGGGAAGAAAAUGACGGUACCUGAGUAAGAAGCCCCGGCUAACUACGUGCCAGCAGCCGCGGUAAUACGUAGGGGGCAAGCGUUAUCUGGAUUGACUGGGUGGAAAGGGAGCGUAGACGGCAGUGCAAGUAUGGAGUGAAAGGCGGGGGCUCAAACCCCGGACUGCGCUGGAAACUCUACGGCUGGAGUGCAGGAGAGGUAAGUGGAAAAUCUAGUGUAGCGGUGAAAUGCGUAGAUAUUAGGAGGGAAACCAGUGGCGCAGGCGGCUUACUGGACUGUAACUGACGUGGAGGCUCGAAAGCGUGGGGAGCACACAGGAGUAGAGACCCCAGUAGUC
RNAcentral lists this ribosomal RNA (440 nucleotides) under uncultured bacterium. RNAcentral describes it as "partial 16S ribosomal RNA". It matches the Rfam family "Bacterial small subunit ribosomal RNA", at positions 338 to 795 of the family's 1533-position model. The record is from RNAcentral.